CAGCCGCCGCGGUAAUACGUAGGUGGCAAGCGUUGUCCGGAAUUAUUGGGCGUAAAGCGCGCGCAGGUGGUUUAAUAAGUCUGAUGUGAAAGCCCACGGCUCAACCGUGGAGGGUCAUUGGAAACUGUUAAACUUGAGUGCAGGAGAGAAAGGUGGAAUUCCUAGUGUAGCGGUGAAAUGCGUAGAGAUUAGGAGGAACACCAGUGGCGAAGGCGGCUUUUUGGCCUGUAGCUGACACUGAGGCGCGAAAGCGUGGGGAGCAAACAGGAUUAGAUACCCGCGUAGUCCCUGUCUCUUAUAA
RNAcentral lists this ribosomal RNA (301 nucleotides) under uncultured bacterium. RNAcentral's name for it is "partial 16S ribosomal RNA". It matches the Rfam family "Bacterial small subunit ribosomal RNA", at positions 509 to 809 of the family's 1533-position model. The record is from RNAcentral.